Molecule: ribosomal RNA, 800 nt
Filed under: uncultured bacterium
Lineage: Bacteria
Description: bacterial SSU rRNA
Rfam family: Bacterial small subunit ribosomal RNA
Source: RNAcentral
AGAGUUUGAUCCUGGCUCAGAACGAACGCUGGCGGCGUGGAUUAGGCAUGCAAGUCGAACGGAACUUCUAGCUUUUUCGGAAGUUUAGUGGCGAAAGGGUGAGUAACACGUGGGUUACCUGCCCUAGGGUUCGGGAUAACCUGUCGAAAGACGGGCUAAUACCGGAUACGUCCUGCACCUUUCGAGGUGCAGGGGAAAGAUGGGGAUCCGUAAGGACCUAUCACCCUUGGAUGGGCCCGCGGCCUAUCAGCUAGUUGGUGAGGUAAUGGCUCACCAAGGCUAAGACGGGUAGCUGGUCUGAGAGGAUGGUCAGCCACACUGGAACUGAGACACUGUCCAGACACCUACGGGUGGCUGCAGUCGAGAAUCUUUCGCAAUGGGGGAAACCCUGACGACGCGACGCCGCGUGGAGGAUGAAGGCCUUCGGGUUGUAAACUCCUGUCAGCAGGGGAGAACAAGUUGUCGGUGAAUAACUGAUAGCUUUGACAGUACCUGCAGAGGAAGCCACGGCUAACUCUGUGCCAGCAGCCGCGGUAAUACAGAGGUGGCAAGCGUUGUUCGGAUUUAUUGGGCGUAAAGGGUCCGUAGGCGGCCUGAAAAGUUGGAUGUGAAAUCCCACAGCUUAACUGUGGAACUGCAUUCAAAACUUUCGGGCUCGAGUGUGAUAGGGGUAAAGGGAAUUCCCGGUGUAAGGGUGAAAUCUGCAGAGAUCGGGAGGAACACCAGUCGCGAAGGCGCUUUACUGGAUCACUACUGACGCUGAGGGACGAAAGCCAGGGGAGCAAACGGGAUUAGAUACC